RNAcentral lists this ribosomal RNA (495 nucleotides) under uncultured bacterium. RNAcentral describes it as "bacterial SSU rRNA". It matches the Rfam family "Bacterial small subunit ribosomal RNA", at positions 43 to 518 of the family's 1533-position model. The record is from RNAcentral.
CGUGCUUAACACAUGCAAGUCGAACGGAGAUUCAGCAAUGGAUCUUAGUGGCGAACGGGUGAGUAACGCGUAGGCAAUCUGCCUUCUAGGAUGGGGACAACAUCCCGAAAGGGGUGCUAAUACCGAAUGUUGUAUCGAUCUUCGCAUGGAGAUGAUACUAAAGGUGGCCUCUGAAUAUGCUACCGCUAGAAGAUGAGCCUGCGUCUGAUUAGCUAGUUGGAGGGGUAACGGCCCACCAAGGCUUCGAUCAGUAGCCGGUCUGAGAGGAUGAACGGCCACACUGGGACUGAGACACGGCCCAGACUCCUACGGGAGGCAGCAGUGGGGAAUCUUCCGCAAUGGACGAAAGUCUGACGGAGCAACGCCGCGUGAAGUGAAGAAGGUUUUCGGAUCGUAAAGCUCUUUCGUCAGGGACGAACGUAUUUCUUGUAAAUAAUGAGAGAUAGUGGCGGUACCUGAAUAAGAAGCCACGGCUAACUACGUGCCAGCCGCCGC